RNAcentral lists this long non-coding RNA (4720 nucleotides) under Equus caballus (horse). RNAcentral describes it as "lncRNA (ENSECAG00000042145.2)". Lineage: Eukaryota; Metazoa; Chordata; Mammalia; Perissodactyla; Equidae. The record is from RNAcentral.
AAUCCAGCUCAGCAGCGACAGACUCAGAUGCCAUCCUGCAUGUGUCAGUUCACCUGGUGAAUGGCGAGCCUGAAGGCUGGUGGGAGCCUUUACCCCUUUAAGUCAACAACAACAACAACUAAAAUCCCAAAAAUCCAGUUUAGACAAUCAUCAACAGAACAAUCAAAAAUCUCUUUGUGACCAAAAGAUAUUUUUACCUGUAUGUAAUUGUCUUCCCUUUUGUCUGAGGCCUUAGCUGAUCAAGGAUCCAGCAUUCUUAAACUUUGAGUGAGACCAGAGCACCCCAUGCAGCACAGCCAACAUCAAAGUCCCGAAUGAGAUCAGCCGCCCCGGAAAAUUCUUGAGAGUGCAUAUCAUCACAUUCCAAUGGUUCUGGCUUUAAUUUUUUCCUCUCUAUUUCUGAACUGUAGUUUCUUAAUUGAAACCACACAAAGCUACUUGAGCACUCUGUCUUAAAGGGACAGAAGGACACCUUCUGGAGGAAUGAAGGGAGAGGAUUAAUGACUUGAUGACUCUUCUUGCAGAACCAGCUGACUCUAGAGACUCAGCAGGAAGCUGCUAUCCAGUGUGACAUCAGAGACCCUCUACAGCCCAUCGCCACGUGUCUGCAGUCCUGUCAUCAUCGCUCCUUCUAGGCUGAGACACUGAACACCGCUUUUUAAAUGCAAACUUCAUAUAAUUCAAAUGUUCAUCAGUCGGGACCCUUGGUCCCAUGUAACAGAAAACUUGAGUCAGGCAGUUUGCAGUUAAAGGAAUUGUAACAUCAGAUGACUAAGAAGAGCAAGGAGGGGUUGUUAGUUUCAGGCACAGCUGGAUCCAGACGCUCAAAGGAUGCCAUCAGGUCCUGACUAACGUCUCCUGGGCUCUGGGCUCGUCCCCUCCCUCUUGGGUCCAUUCUUAGAGAGAAUCUCCUGUCACGGCUGCAGGACAGACGAGUCCAGUAGAAAAGAGUCUCUGUGCACCCCCAGAAGCCACAGCAACAGUGUCCUCGCAUCUCCUUGGUCCUGAGUGUGUCACACGUCUGUCCCUGAACCAGUCAGAGCUGCCAGGAAAGGAAAGCCCUAGGAUCUCAGUCCGCCUGACACAGAGGGCUGGUCAAGCCACGUGGUUUCACAGACUGGAAGGAAAGUCUGAAGAAACACCCUCGGGGAGAGUGAGAGUGACUCAGCUCCAGGGGGAGCAACUGAUGGGCAGACUUUUCGGGGCACCACGACGGGCUCCAGCCACACCAGAAUCUGUGUCUCUUCUCCACAGAUCCGUAUUCUCAGGGUCUCUUUGGACAUCCUCGCUGGGUUAUGGGGAGUGAAGAUGCCUCUUCGCCACAAUGAUUCAUCGCAUUGCAAUCUGUCUAUUGAUCAUCAGUCAGGACUCAGGCAGGCACUGCAGGUGCAACCAUCUCCCCACGGAGACCUGGACAUCGUCCAGCUGCACUGCACCAGGAGAGCAACUGUCGGGUCCCAUCGCACUGGGAUCUGCAUGGCUCCAGGGGAAAGAACUUGGCUAGAGUUGAGUGCCUCCUAAUCCCCAGUAGAAGAUGACGUUUCCAUCUUGCUUUUUCACCCCCUCGAAUCUUCGCAGAGCCUGAGGUGGGGGCGGGUCCGUCCAGCAGAGCGUUACAACCACCCCACCCCGUAAUGACACAGCUACGCCUCAGGAGUUCCAUGAAGACUGAAACGUCCCGAGCCCGUCUCUUUUCUAAGGUUAGCUGACGCAUGUCUGCUCCAGACUUCAGGUCAGCGUCAGCCCCACGUGUCUCCAUCCUGGGCGCCUCGGACGUCAGAGCCUGCCCUUCUCUUGCCCAUUCCAAAAGGCCAACAGCCUAAGCAUCCCACACGAGCAGAUGUACAACCUCUUCUCAUGUCACGUCCACUUGUACCCCCUUGGCCAAGACCAAAGUCCUUGGGACGAGGCCGUCGCUCUGCUCUCUCUGCAGGGAAGCGCCAGAGGCCACGCGGCAGAGGGAAGCGAUUGUGAAAGGUAAUCCAGUCCGCGGCACCCACGUGGCUCUGAACCUUUCAGUGACACAGCAAUGACUUCCCUCUAUUGUCGAGUUCGAGUUUCAGGUUAUGUGCGACACAGAGGGUGCUGACCGAGACCCUGGGCCUGCCUCGUCGUUCCCGGCCACACCUGCAGACUUGCUAGUGUCUCUUUCAGAAGAACGUCUGAGACUCUGCACGUAGAGCAGAAAGCUGGUGAGAGAUCAGCGGCAGAUGACAACAGAGGUGGAGAUGAAAUUCUGGGAUCCAACGCCUUCUCGCUGCUGAGGUGGUGUUUGGGCGCUGGCUUCCAGCCACGAGUGUGAACAUCACAAAAUUCAGCCCGGGGCCAAGGCCACCCUGAAUUAAAGGAGUGACUGAAUCAACGAAAUGAAAUGAGCUUCUGUUCCCUUCAGACACCCACGGUCACUAACACACAGCCCUCUUGUCCUCUUGUUGACGCUGUUAAUUAACGUAGGGACGCAAAUCAGCCAGCUGAGCCAUGCCCACAGAUAGGAAGGACUCGGUAACUGUUAUCGAUCCUUUCUCCCCAUCUCUCAAAACAUCUGAAAUUUAAAUGAAGUCAAUCCAGUUGACAACUCUCAACCAAGAUCCUUCAGAGCCCCACAGCGGUUAAGGGGGCACUGCUAAGAACCAGCCUGCCGGGGUCCGACCCCAGCGUCUCCUCUUCUAGGCCAUGAGAUCCUGGGCAAGCGGCUUCACCUCUCUGAGCCUCAGUCUCCUCAUCUGUACAAUGGGUCCGUCACCCCCAUGCUGCGCUCUGGGGCUGAAUUCGAAGCUCCUCUCCUUCCCAGCCGUGCGAUCUGGGCAAGCGACUUCGCCUGUCCAUUCCUCAGUUUCCUCAUUUGUAAAAUGGGGACGAUAACAGCUCCUACCUCACAGCAGUAUUGUGAGGACUAAAUGGGUUAAUAAGUAGGCGUGCUCAGAAGAGAUCCCGUCACAUAUGUGUCACUCAAUAGCUGUUGCUAUUACUAGUAAAAUCAGCAGUCAUAGUAGUAAUAGCGACACUACUAUGGGUAGUAAUAAUAGUAGAGAUAGAAAUAGUAGUAGUAGUAGCGAUAAUAGUAACAGUAGUAGUAGUGACUGUAGUAGUAACAGUGGUAGUAGUAACUGUAGUAGUAGUAAUACUAAUAGUAGCAAUACUACUAGUAGUAGAAUUUUCCUUCAUCUUAAGAAAGCUUAGAAAUAAUCACGGUAUUAUAAGUAUAAUGACAAUUUCAUAUGUUCAAACUCAUAGUAACCUUUGUUGAAUGAACUUGUAUGUGUCUGGCACUCUGCUAAGCAACUUACAGGCAUUACCAUAGUCCUUCUCACAUCUUGAUGAUGACGAUGAUCAUGGUGAUGACAACGCACUCUCCUUCACACAGAUGAGAACUACGAGGCGCAGAGAAAUCCAGUCACCUAAGCGAUUAAGGUCACACAGCAAAUCAUGACAAAUCCAGGAUUUAAACACAGGCCGUCUGAUUCCAGAGCCUGAGGCUCCCCAUGUCACUAUUCUGCUUCCACAGGAUAGGAAAGCUAAGACACAUCCUUCCUCAUCUCUUUGCUCAUUUGUUCAAUAGUAUUUAUUGAGUCCCCUCCGUGUGCUGAGAAUAGAACGAGACAGAGACGGUGCACUCACCCUUCUGACUCUCUGUCUCUCUACCCACCCAGCCGUCCAGCCAGCCAGCCAUGUAUCCAUUCGGCAUCCGUCAUUCAGUCAUGCGUGCAUCUGUGCUCAGCCCCUAAUAGUUCUGGGACGUGAUGCCUCCAUCGCCAGUAGAGUCGUCGUCAUUCAGAGGGUGAACGUGGGUCUUCCUAAGAGGCUUCACCACAUCGUCUCCACUGGAAACUACUAUGUCGACACUCUAUUUCUUAGUCUGUUAUUCCAGUCUCUGAUAAAACGAUUAUUCUGCAAAUCUCUAAUUUUAUGCCCCACUCUCCAAAAUGCAAAUGACCCCUCUGGACGUCCAGCUGGCCACUGGUGGGAGUUUUGAUUCAUCCUCUUGCUGCCUGGGGACUGGCCACGGCGUGACGAUCCAUUAUAAGGUUCACCUGGCUCAUGUCUCCAAGCCGGUCAAGUUAUCUUCACAUCUCAACACGUGGACAGAUGGCUGCUGGAGCUGGGGUGUCGCGAUGUUUACGUCUCAGCCUGAGGCAUUGCACCAGCUAUGUCUUCAUUUUUUGAAAUAACAGGCAAUAAUAGUGGCUUAAAUUUUAAGAUUUAUUUGGUUUAAAUUGGGCUCCCAGACUCGGAAAUAUAUCUGUAGCAAAAGCUCUUUCAGGAAUACUUUAGGACCGGCCCUGUGGCCUAGUGGUUAAGUUCACGCACUCCGCUUCAGUGGCCCAGGGUUUCGCCGGUUCAGAUCCUGGGCACGGACACGGCACUGCUCAGCAAGCCAUGCUGAGGCAGCGUCCCACAUGCCACAACUAGAAGAACCCACAACUAAAAUAUACAACGAUGUACUUGGGAGAUUUGGGGAGAAAAAGCAGAAAAAAAAAAGAAGAUUGGCAACAGUUGUUAGCUCAGGUGGCAAUCUUUAAAAAAAAAUACUUUAAUAAUCUGGUUUUGUUAAAGUCUAAUCUUUAAAGAAAAUAUACAUAUUCAAUUAUUUAAUGAGCUGGACGCUGAGGCUUUUUUUUUUCCAAGGAAAUGAAGUUUAACAUUUCGUUUUGAUUCUGUGAUUGGCAUUCCAGUCAAUUAGCACAGCUCAUUUGGGUAUUUGGUUCAAUUCCGUGGACUG